This is a non-coding RNA of Coturnix japonica (Japanese quail), 645 nucleotides long. The record is from RefSeq and is a predicted model, not a curated record. NCBI's taxonomy places the organism in Eukaryota, Metazoa, Chordata, Aves, Galliformes, Phasianidae.
CAGGUUGCUGUGGGUACUGCAGAGCCACUGCUGAGGAGGGACUGGCAAAAAGGCAGAAGAGCAGCGCCCAUAGGAAUCUGCUGGAUACUGUCUCCAUCCAGUUUGAUGCACUGUCCUGGCUUUCUGCUGCUUCUCCUUGUGCUGGUGAUGGUCCACCACGUUCAGCUCUUUUUGCUUGGCCUUCUGAUGACAUGGAUAAAUAGAUGCCUCCUGUAGCAGGGACCAUCAUGUUAUUCCAUAAGCAUCUUGCGUGCCUGAGGCCAGUGGGAUCAGCACAGGGCAGGUUCCCAGCCCCACACCCGGCCUUACUCCCACCUCCCACUCCGCGCUGCUGCUCUCAUCCCGCCCGGCCUCAGCUCCGCCCUUGGCCCAAGCAGCUCCCACGGCCGAGCUCCCGUUGGGCAACGCUCACGUCAAUCAACGCGUCCGGAACCAGUGGGAUCGCGAGGACUCGCAGGAGGGAAGCAGCGAGCACCGCCCAACCCUUGUUGAGCGCUGAUUGGUUUCCUGGCGCCGAUGGGCGGGACUUCGCGUCUCCCUCCUCGGGAUUGGGCGGCGGCGCCGUCAAACAGGGGCGGCUCCUUCCGGUCUGGGGCCGCGUGUCUCGCGUGGGAGCGGGGCGGGGGGGGGCGAGGAACCGGCGGG